Molecule: ribosomal RNA, 506 nt
Filed under: uncultured bacterium
Lineage: Bacteria
Description: partial 16S ribosomal RNA
Rfam family: Bacterial small subunit ribosomal RNA
Source: RNAcentral
AGUGAACGCUGGCGGUAGGCCUAACACAUGCAAGUCGAACGGCAGCACAGGAGAGCUUGCUCUCUGGGUGGCGAGUGGCGGACGGGUGAGGAAUACAUCGGAAUCUACUCUGUCGUGGGGGAUAACGUAGGGAAACUUACGCUAAUACCACAUACGACCUACGGGUGAAAGCAGGGGAUCUUCGGACCUUGCGCGAUUGAAUGAGCCGAUGUCGGAUUAGCUAGUUGGCGGGGUAAAGGCCCACAAAGGCGACGAUCCGUAGCGGGUCUGAGAGGAUGGUCAGCCAAGCUGGAACAGAGACCCGGUCCAGACUCCUACGGGAGGCAGCAGUGGGGAAUAUUGGAUAAUGGGCGCAAGCCUGAUCCAGCCAUACCGCGUGGGUGAAGAAGGCCUUCGGGUUGUAAAGCCCUUUUGUUGGGAAAGAAAUCCAGCUGGCUAAUACCCGGUUGGGAUGACGGUACCCAAAGAAUAAGCACCGGCUAACUUCGUGCCAGCAGCCGCCGUAA